Molecule: ribosomal RNA, 591 nt
Filed under: uncultured bacterium
Lineage: Bacteria
Description: bacterial SSU rRNA
Rfam family: Bacterial small subunit ribosomal RNA
Source: RNAcentral
GAUGAACGCUAGCUACAGGCUUAACACAUGCAAGUCGAGGGACCGGCGCACGGGUGAGUAACGCGUAUCCAACCUUCCGUACACUCAGGGAUAGCCUUUCGAAAGAAAGAUUAAUACCUGAUGGUGUACGAUGGGGAUGCGUUCCAUUAGGUAGUAGGCGGGGUAACGGCCCACCUAGCCAACGAUGGAUAGGGGUUCUGAGAGGAAGGUCCCCCACAUUGGAACUGAGACACGGUCCAAACUCUACGGGAGGCAGCAGUGAGGAAUAUUGGCCAAUGGACGAGAGUCUGAACCAGCCAAGUAGCGUGAAGGAUGAAGGUCUACGGAUUGUAAACUUCUUUUAUAAGGGAAUAUGUACCUUAUGAAUAAGCAUCGGCUAACUCCGUGCCAGCAGCCGCGGUAAUACGGAGGAUGCGAGCGUUAUCCGGAUUUAUUGGGUUUAAAGGGAGCGCAGACGGGUAGUUAAGUCAGCUGUGAAAGUUUGGGGCUCAACCUUAAAAUUGCAGUUGAUACUGGCGUCCUUGAGUGCGGUUGAGGUGUGCGGAAUUCGUGGUGUAGCGGUGAAAUGCUUAGAUAUCACGAAGAACUCCG